This 1076-nucleotide ribosomal RNA is filed under the name Brevibacterium luteolum. RNAcentral describes it as "bacterial SSU rRNA". It matches the Rfam family "Bacterial small subunit ribosomal RNA", at positions 61 to 1143 of the family's 1533-position model. Lineage: Bacteria; Bacillati; Actinomycetota; Actinomycetes; Micrococcales; Brevibacteriaceae. The record is from RNAcentral.
GUCGAACGCUGAAGCAUCCAGCUUGCUGGGUGUGGAUGAGUGGCGAACGGGUGAGUAACACGUGAGUAACCUGCCCCUGACUUCGGGAUAAGCCUGGGAAACUGGGUCUAAUACCGGAUAUGACUACUGGCCGCAUGGUCUGGUGGUGGAAAGGGUUUUACUGGUUGGGGAUGGACUCGCGGCCUAUCAGUUUGUUGGUGGGGUAGUGGCCUACCAAGACGACGACGGGUAGCCGGCCUGAGAGGGCGACCGGCCACACUGGGACUGAGACACGGCCCAGACUCCUACGGGAGGCAGCAGUGGGGAAUAUUGCACAAUGGGGGGAACCCUGAUGCAGCGACGCCGCGUGCGGGAUGACGGCCUUCGGGUUGUAAACCGCUUUCAGUAGGGAAGAAGCGAAAGUGACGGUACCUGCAGAAGAAGUACCGGCUAACUACGUGCCAGCAGCCGCGGUAAUACGUAGGGUACAAGCGUUGUCCGGAAUUAUUGGGCGUAAAGAGCUCGUAGGUGGUUGGUCACGUCUGCUGUGGAAACGCAACGCUUAACGUUGCGCGUGCAGUGGGUACGGGCUGACUAGAGUGCAGUAGGGGAGUCUGGAAUUCCUGGUGUAGCGGUGAAAUGCGCAGAUAUCAGGAGGAACACCGGUGGCGAAGGCGGGACUCUGGGCUGUAACUGACGCUGAGGAGCGAAAGCAUGGGGAGCGAACAGGAUUAGAUACCCUGGUAGUCCAUGCCGUAAACGUUGGGAACUAGGUGUGGGGUCCAUUCCACGGAUUCCGUGCCGUAGCUAACGCAUUAAGUUCCCCGCCUGGGGAGUACGGCCGCAAGGCUAAAACUCAAAGGAAUUGACGGGGGCCCGCACAAGCGGCGGAGCAUGCGGAUUAAUUCGAUGCAACGCGAAGAACCUUACCAAGGCUUGACAUACACCGGAAACGGCUAGAGAUAGUCGCCUCUUCGGACUGGUGUACAGGUGGUGCAUGGUUGUCGUCAGCUCGUGUCGUGAGAUGUUGGGUUAAGUCCCGCAACGAGCGCAACCCUCGUUCUAUGUUGCCAGCACGUAAUGGUGGGGAACUCAUG